GCUGACACGUAAGCACUCCACAUGCCCUGUGCAAGUGCCUUCAUGUGAAAUUGCCCGGCUCUUCCCAUAUGACUUGCCAAGAGCCUUUCAGCAAUUCCACGCUCUUUUCUUCUGCAUCCGGCACUAAGCUCCUGAAAGUGUAGAGCUGGCAACGAAGAUAACAUCAGCUAUCUUAUUCUCAAUACCCGGAAUAUGCACAGCCUUCCACCAAAUAUUAUGUUUCAAAAUAACAAUACUAGAUUUCGCAACAAAUUAAUAACAAAGCAUCUUUUAGAAUGCAUAGAAUUAAAGACCUGUACAACUGCCUUAUUGUCGCAGUGGAACAAUAUUCGUUUAUUCUGCAGUUCUUUUUCUCAUACCAAACUUGCUGCUACAAUUGGUAACAAUUCCAAAAGGGGGCUACAUUCCUGGUCAACCCUUGCUCUACCCAUUUAUCUGACCACUGAGCAAAGGCCCCUU
Pelobates cultripes (western spadefoot toad) is the source of this 459-nucleotide non-coding RNA. Lineage: Eukaryota; Metazoa; Chordata; Amphibia; Anura; Pelobatidae. The record is from the annotation of a GenBank genome assembly.